RNAcentral lists this long non-coding RNA (672 nucleotides) under Malus domestica (apple). RNAcentral describes it as "long non-coding RNA (MDOM_LNC016452)". The record is from RNAcentral. Lineage: Eukaryota; Viridiplantae; Streptophyta; Magnoliopsida; Rosales; Rosaceae.
UUGAACUUCAGGUCAAGGCAUAAACGAGUUUUCCCAAGAUCCUUCAUCUCAAAUUCCAUCUUCAGGUGUGAGGCAUUUUUCUGAAGCUCUUCUAAAGUAUUAGUAAGAUUUGUAUUAAUGACAUAAACUGCAACUCUAGAAAUUCGGAAUAAGACUUCAUAGUUUAACACGCAAAGACAUUCACUUAGAUGGGUAUACCACAUCCGCCAGAUAGUUUCACUUCACAAACGAGUUGAGAGGGUGAACUAUUUGAACUAGUCCAUGUAAUUCUUCAAGAACUUACAUGUAAAUCUCUGUAUCUAUAUCCCUAUGGAGAAACACUAACCACAUUUCAUAAUGUUGCUAUCAAUCACAGGACGUUUUAAGAGAAACCUUGUGCUGUAAGGCAUGCAUCAUAGCGCACCAUUUCAUUCAUCUCAUAACGAUUCCUUUCCCACUUGUAACACAACAAGGUUACCUUGGGCAGUGUAGGAACGAUAGGUCCAAAAAACACUUUGGUAAGGAACUUGACCUGGAUUGCAAUUUUGGUUAUCCAAUCAGUUCUACAUUAUCACUUAAUCAACGGAACAUAGUUCGAUAUUGUCGCUUUUUAUUUAUGUCGGUAGCUACCAUAUAAGUGAAAACAUCAUCGAUGGUAAUCUCAUUUCAAUUCCAUUUUCUCAUCCAAACUAG